Molecule: ribosomal RNA, 341 nt
Filed under: Nematoda environmental sample
Lineage: Eukaryota; Metazoa; Nematoda
Description: SSU rRNA
Rfam family: Eukaryotic small subunit ribosomal RNA
Source: RNAcentral
GGUGGAGCGAUUUGUCUGGUUAAUUCCGAUAACGAACGAGACUCUGGCCUAUUAAAUAGACGGUAUAUCGAAAAGUAUGCCGAACUUCUUAGAGGGACAAGCGGCGUCUAGCCGCAUGAAAUAGAGCAAUAACAGGUCUGUGAUGCCCUUAGAUGUCCGGGGCUGCACGCGCGCUACACUGAAAGAAUCAGAGGGCGCUUCGCCUGGUUCGGAAGAACCGGGUAACCCAAGUAAAUUCUUUCGUGCUUGGGAUAGGGAAUUGCAAUUAUUUCCCUCGAACGAGGAAUUCCCAGUAAAUGCGGGUCAUAAGCUCGCGUUGAAUACGUCCCUGCCCUUUGUAC